Molecule: ribosomal RNA, 253 nt
Filed under: uncultured bacterium
Lineage: Bacteria
Description: partial 16S ribosomal RNA
Rfam family: Bacterial small subunit ribosomal RNA
Source: RNAcentral
UACGUAGGGGGCUAGCGUUGCUCGGAAUUACUGGGCGUAAAGGGCGUGUAGGCGGCUAUCUAAGUUGGGGGUGAAAUCCCGGGGCUCAACCUCGGAAUUGCCUUCAAAACUGGAUAUCUUGAGUUCGGGAGAGGUGAGUGGAACUCCGAGUGUAGAGGUGAAAUGCGCAGAUAUUCGGAAGAACACCAGUGGCGAAGGCGACUCACUGGCCCGAUACUGACGCUGAGGCGCGAAAGCGUGGGGAGCAAACAGG